UGGGGAAUAUUGCACAAUGGGCGCAAGCCUGAUGCAGCCAUGCCGCGUGUAUGAAGAAGGCCUUCGGGUUGUAAAGUACUUUCAGCGAGGAGGAAGGCGGUAAGGUUAAUAACCUUAUCGAUUGACGUUACUCGCAGAAGAAGCACCGGCUAACUCCGUGCCAGCAGCCGCGGUAAUACGGAGGGUGCAAGCGUUACUCGGAAUUACUGGGCGUAAAGCGCACGCAGGCGGUCUGUCAAGUCGGAUGUGAAAUCCCCGGGCUCAACCUGGGAACUGCAUUCGAAACUGGCAGGCUAGAGUCUUGUAGAGGGGGGUAGAAUUCCAGGUGUAGCGGUGAAAUGCGUAGAGAUCUGGAGGAAUACCGGUGGCGAAGGCGGCCCCCUGGACAAAGACUGACGCUCAGGUGCGAAAGCGUGGGGAGCAAACA
Molecule: ribosomal RNA, 427 nt
Filed under: uncultured bacterium
Lineage: Bacteria
Description: partial 16S ribosomal RNA
Rfam family: Bacterial small subunit ribosomal RNA
Source: RNAcentral